AUUGAACGCUGGCGGCAUGCCUUACACAUGCAAGUCGAACGGCAGCACGGGAGCAAUCCUGGUGGCGAGUGGCGAACGGGUGAGUAAUGUAUCGGAACGUACCUUUCAGUGGGGGAUAACGUAGCGAAAGUUACGCUAAUACCGCAUAUUCUGUGAGCAGGAAAGCAGGGGAUCGCAAGACCUUGCGCUGAUUGAGCGGCCGAUAUCAGAUUAGCUAGUUGGUGAGGUAAAGGCUCACCAAGGCGACGAUCUGUAGCGGGUCUGAGAGGAUGAUCCGCCACACUGGAACUGAGACGCGGUCCAGACUCCUACGGGAGGCAGCAGUGGGGAAUUUUGGACAAUGGGCGCAAGCCUGAUCCAGCCAUGCCGCGUGAGUGAAGAAGGCCUCGGUUGUAAGACGUCUUUCUAGUCCGGAGGAAACGACAUGGUUAAGUACCUACGUGUGG
This 446-nucleotide ribosomal RNA is filed under the name uncultured bacterium. Its description in RNAcentral is "bacterial SSU rRNA". It matches the Rfam family "Bacterial small subunit ribosomal RNA", at positions 30 to 479 of the family's 1533-position model. The record is from RNAcentral.